CUUCAUGUUAAACACUAAGUACAGUACUUCAUGUAUAUAACAUUAAGGUGUUUCUUACAUUCAGAAUUAUAAUUGUAAGUAGCAGACUGCUAUAAGUACCCCUCUGGAGGGAGUGAUAAAGUUUGAAAUCGCGGGUGUGCCCCUUUGUGCCUCCACAGCGCGAUUGUGCUGUUGAGAUUUAUUGUGCUGUGGUACGUCUUUUUUCCCAACGUGUCCGAUACUGAAAUCAGUGCGACAUACUUAGCAAAAAGCGUGGGAAUUGUUGAUGCAGCUUCGUGAUAAGAAGUUAAAUUCCUCCGUCCAGCUGUUGUUAUAUUUGCAGCUAUAUUUAGUUUUUUCGCCGUAGCAUCACCUGAGCUUUCUAAUGCCAUUUUUAGUGACGCUUGAUUCAAAUUCCCCCGUCUACCUGCGCAGAUAUCAACUGUGCAACAGAGCUGUAGGUUGCCAGGUUGAGGUCACAAAUGGGAUCAAAAUUGUAUGAUGUAUCUAUUGUGUGAGUAGGAUUCGUUUCAUACAAUAUUUGGCAGCUGGACAAUAAUGUAUUUAUGUGAUUAUUCAUAUUACGAGAUAGGGCCAUACAAAUUACUACGGGAGUUUUCCCGGGAGAAAUAACAAAACGGGAGGGGGGCGGGAGAUGGUUGUGAAAUACGGGAGACUCCCGGGAAAAACGGGAGUGUUGACAGGUAUGCUACCAGGCCAUAAGGAGACUGGUGGGGAACUGCCCAGCACUGAGGGGACGGACGAGGAUUCAGCUGUUUGAGGUCAAUCAGCAGAUGCUUUCUGUCUGGUACAACAACUACAGGAAGAAGCUGGAGGCAGAUGUGCUGGCUCUGAGUGUUCCCUUGCCUCAGAUCAGCAUGGUGUCUCACACUCAGCUUCCUGUCGCCAGGCAGAUGACAUCAAUGCCCUCUGCACCUGGGUCUUCGCUUAAACCUUUCCCCUACGUUGCAAAUCCUGAUCUGUCAGGUCAGGCCACACGACGUGGGCAGCGACCUCCUCCUCCUGCAUCAGCACCCGCUCUCUCUGCUCAACAGCCAGCGUCUCUCUCUGCUCCGCCGGCAGCAUCCCUCUCUGCUCCACCUCUGCCUACAUAAAGGACAUAUGAAGUGUCCUAAAUAAUUAUUACUACUAAAUAAUUAACUUUAUGUCUGUUCUUUAUUUGAGGACAUUUGUUUGCCAUCAUAGAGUUCAUGCAAACUGUCUUUAAAAUAUUUAUUCUUUAUUUUAGAACAUUUAAUGACUGUUCUUUUGUUUGAGAACAUUUAUUUGCCCUCUUAAAGGUUACAUUAAUAGAUCACAA
Long non-coding RNA from Cyprinus carpio carpio, 1300 nucleotides. The record is from Ensembl. Lineage: Eukaryota; Metazoa; Chordata; Actinopteri; Cypriniformes; Cyprinidae.